GUUCGAUAUUAAAAUUUAAAUAUCGACACUCGAUAUUUUGAAAUAAAACUUCUUUACACAAGCUUGUCUUGGGGAAUAAACUGGGAAAUACGUGAUGAGAGUGUUACGAAAAGUGUAUUCGGGCAAGGCGAACGUGUAGCGGCUUACCGGGCAAAAGAUCUUGAAGACACUUUCGGAGAUCUUCAAGAAGCGAAAAAGACUUCUAAAGUUUCUGGAGGAGCUUGCGUGGCAAGAGUGAAUCGGAUUACUCCCACACACGCAAAAUAGGCGCAAAGUCGUCGAGUUGCGGAAACCAGCCCUUGUUAACGAUGCUGUACCAUACCAUACC
RNAcentral lists this unclassified non-coding RNA (328 nucleotides) under Melitaea cinxia (Glanville fritillary). RNAcentral describes it as "misc RNA ENSMCXG00005016831.1". Lineage: Eukaryota; Metazoa; Arthropoda; Insecta; Lepidoptera; Nymphalidae. The record is from RNAcentral.